This 236-nucleotide ribosomal RNA is filed under the name uncultured bacterium. Its description in RNAcentral is "partial 16S ribosomal RNA". It matches the Rfam family "Bacterial small subunit ribosomal RNA", at positions 118 to 351 of the family's 1533-position model. The record is from RNAcentral.
UGAGUAACCUGCCCUUGACUCUGGGAUAAGCCUGGGAAACCGGGUCUAAUACCGGAUAUGACUGCCGGCCGCAUGGCCUGGUGGUGGAAAGCUUUAUUGCGGUUUUGGAUGGACUCGCGGCCUAUCAGCUUGUUGGCGGGGUAAUGGCCCACCAAGGCGACGACGGGUAGCCGGCCUGAGAGGGUGACCGGCCACACUGGGACUGAGACACGGCCCAGACUCCGUACGGGAGGCAG